This 505-nucleotide ribosomal RNA is filed under the name uncultured Pelagibacterales bacterium. Its description in RNAcentral is "bacterial SSU rRNA". It matches the Rfam family "Bacterial small subunit ribosomal RNA", at positions 89 to 628 of the family's 1533-position model. The record is from RNAcentral. Lineage: Bacteria; Pseudomonadati; Pseudomonadota; Alphaproteobacteria; Candidatus Pelagibacterales.
UACUUAGUGGCAGACGGGUGAGUAACAUGUGGGUAUCUACCCUUUGGCCUGGAAUAACACGAGGAAACUUGUGCUAAUACCGGAUAAGUCUUUACGGAGAAAGCUUUAUGCACCAUUGGAUGAGCCCGCACUUGAUUAGUUUGUUGGUAGGGUAAUGGCCUACCAAGACUAUGAUCAAUAGCUGAUUUGAGAGGAUGAUCAGCCACAUUGGGACUGAGACACGGCCCAAACUCCUACGGGAGGCAGCAGUGGGGAAUCUUGCACAAUGGAGGAAACUCUGAUGCAGCGAUGCCGCGUGAGUGAAGAAGGCCUUUGGGUUGUAAAGCUCUUUCGUCGGGGAAGAAAAUGACUGUACCCGAAUAAGGAGGUCCGGCUAACUUCGUGCCAGCAGCCGCGGUAAUACGAAGGGACCUAGCGUAGUUCGGAAUUACUGGGCUUAAAGAGUUCGUAGGUGGUUGAAAAAGUUGGUGGUGAAAUCCCAGAGCUUAACUCUGGAACUGCCAUC